AGCGUAGACGGUGUGGCAAGUCUGAUGUGAAAGGCAUGGGCUCAACCUGUGGACUGCAUUGGAAACUGUCGUACUUGAGUGCCGGAGGGGUAAGCGGAAUUCCUAGUGUAGCGGUGAAAUGCGUAGAUAUUAGGAGGAACACCAGUGGCGAAGGCGGCUUACUGGACGGUAACUGACGUUGAGGCUCGAAAGCGUGGGGAGCAAACA
Molecule: ribosomal RNA, 207 nt
Filed under: uncultured bacterium
Lineage: Bacteria
Description: partial 16S ribosomal RNA
Rfam family: Bacterial small subunit ribosomal RNA
Source: RNAcentral